RNAcentral lists this ribosomal RNA (442 nucleotides) under uncultured Anaerovorax sp. RNAcentral describes it as "bacterial SSU rRNA". It matches the Rfam family "Bacterial small subunit ribosomal RNA", at positions 338 to 795 of the family's 1533-position model. The record is from RNAcentral. Lineage: Bacteria; Bacillati; Bacillota; Clostridia; Peptostreptococcales; Anaerovoracaceae.
CCUACGGGCGGCAGCAGUGGGGAAUAUUGCACAAUGGGCGAAAGCCUGAUGCAGCAACGCCGCGUGAGCGAAGAAGGCCUUUGGGUCGUAAAGCUCUGUCCUUGGGGAAGAAAAAAAUGACGGUACCCUUGGAGGAAGCCCCGGCUAACUACGUGCCAGCAGCCGCGGUAAUACGUAGGGGGCGAGCGUUAUCCGGAAUUAUUGGGCGUAAAGAGUGCGUAGGUGGUUUUGUAAGCGCGGGGUGAAAGGCUAUGGCUUAACCAUAGUAAGCCUCGCGAACUGUGAGACUUGAGUGCAGGAGAGGAAAGUGGAAUUCCUAGUGUAGCGGUGAAAUGCGUAGAUAUUAGGAGGAACACCAGUGGCGAAGGCGACUUUCUGGACUGUAACUGACACUGAGGCACGAAAGCGUGGGGAGCAAACAGGAUUAGAUACCCCGGUAGUC